AGCAGCCGCGGUAAUUCCAGCUCCAAUAGCGUAUAUUAAAGUUGUUGCAGUUAAAAAGCUCGUAGUUGAAUUUCGGGAUUAGUACGUUGGUCGUGCCUUGGUACGUACUGGUGUAACUGAUUCCUCCCUUCUGACGAACCGUCAUGCCAUUAAUUUGGUGUGGCGGGAAAUCAGGACUGUUACUUUGAAAAAAUUAGAGUGUUUAAAGCAGGCUCGCGCUUGAAUACAUUAGCAUGGAAUAAUGAAAUAGGACGUUAAUCCUAUUUUGUUGGUUUCUAGGAUCGACGUAAUGAUUAAUAGGGAUAGUUGGGGGCAUUAGUAUUCAAUUGUCAGAGGUGAAAUUCUUGGAUUUAUUGAAGACUAACUACUGCGAAAGCAUUUGCCAAGGAUGUUUUCAUUAAUCAAGAACGAAAGUUAGGGGAUCGAAGACGAUCAGAUACCGUCGUAGUC
Molecule: ribosomal RNA, 450 nt
Filed under: uncultured Glomeromycotina
Lineage: Eukaryota; Fungi; Glomeromycota
Description: SSU rRNA
Rfam family: Eukaryotic small subunit ribosomal RNA
Source: RNAcentral